AAGAGACAGCAGCCGCCGCGGUAAUACAGAGGGUGCAAGCGUUAAUCGGAAUUACUGGGCGUAAAGCGCGCGUAGGUGGUUUGUUAAGUUGGAUGUGAAAGCCCCGGGCUCAACCUGGGAACUGCAUCCAAAACUGGCAAGCUAGAGUAUGGUAGAGGGUGGUGGAAUUUCCUGUGUAGCGGUGAAAUGCGUAGAUAUAGGAAGGAACACCAGUGGCGAAGGCGACCACCUGGACUGAUACUGACACUGAGGUGCGAAAGCGUGGGGAGCAAACAGGAUUAGAUACCCCCGUAGUCCCUGUCUCUUAUAC
RNAcentral lists this ribosomal RNA (310 nucleotides) under uncultured bacterium. RNAcentral's name for it is "partial 16S ribosomal RNA". It matches the Rfam family "Bacterial small subunit ribosomal RNA", at positions 503 to 807 of the family's 1533-position model. The record is from RNAcentral.